GUCUCUCUGAUGCAGUGGUUCUCAACAGUUCAACAGUUCUCUCUCACAAUUGUGAAAUGUUUAGGACCACUUGAUCAGGC
This 80-nucleotide microRNA precursor is filed under the name Astyanax mexicanus (Mexican tetra). Its description in RNAcentral is "mir-203 microRNA precursor family". It matches the Rfam family "mir-203 microRNA precursor family". Lineage: Eukaryota; Metazoa; Chordata; Actinopteri; Characiformes; Acestrorhamphidae. The record is from Rfam by way of RNAcentral.